GCUGGGCAUGGUGGCACAUGCCUGUAGUCUCAGCUACUUGGGAGGCUAAGGCAGGAGAUCACUUGAGUCUAGGAGGUUAAGGCUGCAGUGAGCCAUGAUCACACCACUGCACUCCUGCCUGGGUAACAGAGUAAGACCCUGUCUUUU
Unclassified non-coding RNA from Papio anubis (olive baboon), 147 nucleotides. It matches the Rfam family "Metazoan signal recognition particle RNA". From Rfam's summary of the family: The signal recognition particle (SRP) is a universally conserved ribonucleoprotein. It is involved in the co-translational targeting of proteins to membranes. The eukaryotic SRP consists of a 300-nucleotide 7S RNA and six proteins: SRPs 72, 68, 54, 19, 14, and 9. The record is from Ensembl. NCBI's taxonomy places the organism in Eukaryota, Metazoa, Chordata, Mammalia, Primates, Cercopithecidae.